Apis laboriosa (Himalayan honeybee) is the source of this 1075-nucleotide long non-coding RNA. RefSeq lists it as uncharacterized. The record is from RefSeq and is a predicted model, not a curated record. NCBI's taxonomy places the organism in Eukaryota, Metazoa, Arthropoda, Insecta, Hymenoptera, Apidae. The transcript has 3 exons.
GAUGAGAAAAAUGAAUUAUACGGUUGGAUUAAAAAAUAAUAAUAAUAAAAAAGAAAAAGAAAAUAAAUCAAAAAAGAGAGACAAGAAAUGGAAGUUAAUUGCCUGCGGCUUUCAUUUUUCAUGUAAAAAGAGGAUAUCUUGAAAGUCAUAUAUAGUUCAGAGUAUAUGGGUCAUGCGAAAAUAAAUAAAUGAAUAAAAGAAAAAAAAUUUUUCAAAAACCGAAAAAUGGAAAUUAGUUUUCUGAAGUUUUCAUAUUUUAUUGUUAAAUUUAAAAAAAAAAACAUUUUGAAAAUUUUAUAUAUGGUUAAAUCUAUGUUUGAAAAAUCGUGUAUAUAUUUGUAUAUACAUACGAUAAUUGCUCAAAGUCAUUAUUUGAUAUCCAAAUACGAAUCUGUGGACUUUCUUUGAUUAAGAUACGUUAAUACGAUAUUUAUCUUAUAGAUAAGUAACGAGGAAUAUUGUUACAAUUAUCUGUAAUCUCCUACGGACCUACACCGACCUAAUUAUCUUCAAAAAGUCUCAACAACAAUUGUUGGUUUAAUUUGUCUUCAAAACAGAUCAUUAAUAAGAACCAACAUUUUUUUUCGAAAAUAAAUUUUUCUUUAUAAAGUUAAAGAAAUACAUCCAAUAAUAAAGAAUUAAGGAAUUAAAUAGCUAAUAAAAAAGCUCAAGCCAAUUGAAAAUAACUCGAGAAAUUCGAUAAAAAUAAAAGAUAAUAAAUAAUACUUAAAGAAUACUUAAGAUUUUCAUUAAGAAAAUCAUUUAUACUGAUAUUUUAAUUAAUUAUAAAAAGAAUUCGAACGUUCAUCUACAUAUUUUUCUUGAUUUUACGAAAGAAUGCCACACCAAUACCAAAAGUAUUUGCAAUUUCUAAAAUACUGCAGCGAAAAGAUUAAAGGAUCGUAAGAAAUUCAAAGGAAUCGUUAAAACGAAGAAAUAUAAGGAAUCUAAAGAAACCCAAUGAAUUGAAAAUGUUCGAGAAAUUCAAAGAAAGUAAAAUAAUUUAAAUAUAAUCCAAAAAAUCCAAGAAAGCGUAGAUUUAAAAUUCAAAGGAGCAGUUUAUAUAUAUAUAAAA